UGUAGUCGAAAAUGUUGUCUCUCUUGAGUGGAUCCUGAGUACGACGGAGCACGUGAAAUUCCGUCGGAAUCUGGGAGGACCAUCUCCUAAGGCUAAAUACUCUCUAGUGACCGAUAGUGAACCAGUACCGUGAGGGAAAGGUGAAAAGCACCCCGGAAGGGGAGUGAAAUAGAACCUGAAACCGUGUGCUUACAAGUAGUCAGAGCCCGUUAAUGGGUGAUGGCGUGCCUUUUGUAGAAUGAACCGGCGAGUUACGAUUUGAUGCAAGGUUAAGCAGUAAAUGUGGAGCCGUAGCGAAAGCGAGUCUGAAUAGGGCGUUUAGUAUUUGGUCGUAGACCCGAAACCAGGUGAUCUACCCUUGGUCAGGUUGAAGUUCAGGUAACACUGAAUGGAGGACCGAACCGACUUACGUUGAAAAGUGAGCGGAUGAACUGAGGGUAGCGGAGAAAUUCCAAUCGAACCUGGAGAUAGCUGGUUCUCUCCGAAAUAGCUUUAGGGCUAGCCUCAAGUGAUGAUUAUUGGAGGUAGAGCACUGUUUGGACGAGGGGCCCCUCUCGGGUUACCGAAUUCAGACAAACUCCGAAUGCCAAUUAAUUUAACUUGGGAGUCAGAACAUGGGUGAUAAGGUCCGUGUUCGAAAGGGAAACAGCCCAGACCACCAGCUAAGGUCCCAAAAUAUAUGUUAAGUGGAAAAGGAUGUGGCGUUGCCCAGACAACUAGGAUGUUGGCUUAGAAGCAGCCAUCAUUUAAAGAGUGCGUAAUAGCUCACUAGUCGAGUGACACUGCGCCGAAAAUGUACCGGGGCUAAACAUAUUACCGAAGCUGUGGAUUGUCCUUUGGACAAUGGUAGGAGAGCGUUCUAAGGGCGUUGAAGCAUGAUCGUAAGGACAUGUGGAGCGCUUAGAAGUGAGAAUGCCGGUGUGAGUAGCGAAAGACGGGUGAGAAUCCCGUCCACCGAUUGACUAAGGUUUCCAGAGGAAGGCUCGUCCGCUCUGGGUUAGUCGGGUCCUAAGCUGAGGCCGACAGGCGUAGGCGAUGGAUAACAGGUUGAUAUUCCUGUACCACCUAUA
This 1070-nucleotide ribosomal RNA is filed under the name Staphylococcus aureus. RNAcentral describes it as "partial 23S ribosomal RNA". It matches the Rfam family "Bacterial large subunit ribosomal RNA", at positions 374 to 1452 of the family's 2925-position model. The record is from RNAcentral. Lineage: Bacteria; Bacillati; Bacillota; Bacilli; Caryophanales; Staphylococcaceae.